AGAGUUUGAUCAUGGCUCAGAUUGAACGCUGGCGGCAGGCUUAACACAUGCAAGUCGAGCGGAGAUGAGGUGCUUGCACCUUAUCUUAGCGGCGGACGGGUGAGUAAUGCUUAGGAAUCUGCCUAUUAGUGGGGGACAACAUUCCGAAAGGAAUGCUAAUACCGCAUACGUCCUACGGGAGAAAGCAGGGGAUCUUCGGACCUUGCGCUAGUAGAUGAGCCUAAGUCGGAUUAGCUAGUUGGUGGGGUAAAGGCCUACCAAGGCGACGAUCUGUAGCGGGUCUGAGAGGAUGAUCCGCCACACUGGGACUGAGACACGGCCCAGACUCCUACGGGAGGCAGCAGUGGGGAAUAUUGGACAAUGGGCGGAAGCCUGAUCCAGCCAUGGCCGCGUGUGUGAAGAAGGCCUUUUGGUUGUAAAGCACUUUAAGCGAGGAGGAGGCUACCUAGAUUAAUACUCUGGGAUAGUGGACGUUACUCGCAGAAUAAGCACCGGCUAACUCUGUGCCAGCAGCCGCGGUAAUACAGAGGGUGCGAGCGUUAAUCGGAUUUACUGGGCGUAAAGCGUGCGUAGGCGGCUGAUUAAGUCGGAUGUGAAAUCCCUGAGCUUAACUUAGGAAUUGCAUUCGAUACUGGUCAGCUAGAGUAUGGGAGAGGAUGGUAGAAUUCCAGGUGUAGCGGUGAAAUGCGUAGAGAUCUGGAGGAAUACCGAUGGCGAAGGCAGCCAUCUGGCCUAAUACUGACGCUGAGGUACGAAAGCAUGGGGAG
RNAcentral lists this ribosomal RNA (767 nucleotides) under uncultured bacterium. RNAcentral's name for it is "bacterial SSU rRNA". It matches the Rfam family "Bacterial small subunit ribosomal RNA", at positions 8 to 768 of the family's 1533-position model. The record is from RNAcentral.